Molecule: ribosomal RNA, 445 nt
Filed under: uncultured bacterium
Lineage: Bacteria
Description: partial 16S ribosomal RNA
Rfam family: Bacterial small subunit ribosomal RNA
Source: RNAcentral
GUGAGGAAUAUUGGUCAAUGGGCGAGAGCCUGAACCAGCCAAGUCGCGUGAAGGAAGAAGGAUCUAUGGUUCGUAAACUUCUUUUGCAGGGGAAUAAAGUGCAGGACGUGUCCUGUUUUGUAUGUACCCUGAGAAUAAGGAUCGGCUAACUCCGUGCCAGCAGCCGCGGUAAUACGGAGGAUCCGAGCGUUAUCCGGAUUUAUUGGGUUUAAAGGGAGCGUAGGUGGUUUGAUAAGUCAGCGGUGAAAGUUUGCAGCUUAACUGUAAAAAUGCCGUUGAAACUGUCGGACUUGAGUGUAAAUGAGGUAGGCGGAAUGCGUGGUGUAGCGGUGAAAUGCAUAGAUAUCACGCAGAACUCCGAUUGCGAAGGCAGCUUACUAAGCUACAACUGACACUGAAGCACGAAAGCGUGGGGAUCAAACAGGAUUAGAAACCCCAGUAGUCC